RNAcentral lists this ribosomal RNA (242 nucleotides) under uncultured bacterium. RNAcentral's name for it is "partial 16S ribosomal RNA". It matches the Rfam family "Bacterial small subunit ribosomal RNA", at positions 62 to 334 of the family's 1533-position model. The record is from RNAcentral.
UCGAACGCCCCGCGAGGGGAGUGGCAGACGGGUGAGUAACGCGUGGGAACAUACCCUUUGGUUCGGAACAACUCCGGGAAACUGGAGCUAAUACCGGAUACGCCCUUUUGGGGAAAGGCUUGCUGCCGAAGGAGUGGCCCGCGUUCGAUUAGCUUGAUGGCGGGGUAACGGCCCACCAUGGCGACGAUCGAUAGCUGGUCUGAGAGGAUGGCCAGCCACAUUGGGACUGAGACACGGCCCAA